Molecule: long non-coding RNA, 283 nt
Filed under: Rattus norvegicus (Norway rat)
Lineage: Eukaryota; Metazoa; Chordata; Mammalia; Rodentia; Muridae
Description: long non-coding RNA NONRATT009863
Source: RNAcentral
ACCGAGGGAGAGGCCCUGGAUUGGAUCUCUGGCUGGGCUCAUUCAUUAGCCUUUCCAGAGAGGAACUGUUGUUCAAGCUUCAUUUCAGCAAACCAACAGCAAGUGGGUUGUCCAGCCUUCCCCUGCUUUCAAGUGCCUGAAGUGCAGCCCCAGUCAAUGGCUUCGAAGAAGUCUUAUGACAAAACAGGCAUGUGCAUGUCAGCCUCAUAAGCAAGGAAAAUGGAACGAGUCCUUUUGUCAACUAUACAGAUCAAACCAAAUUAAAAUACAAAUAUCUGUAGCC